This 69-nucleotide transfer RNA is filed under the name Lophostoma silvicola (D'Orbigny's round-eared bat). RNAcentral's name for it is "transfer RNA-Phe". It matches the Rfam family "tRNA". From Rfam's summary of the family: Transfer RNA (tRNA) molecules are approximately 80 nucleotides in length. The record is from RNAcentral. Lineage: Eukaryota; Metazoa; Chordata; Mammalia; Chiroptera; Phyllostomidae.
GUUAAUGUAGCUUAAUUUAUAAAGCAAGGCACUGAAAAUGCCUAGAUGAGUCCACAAACUCCAUAAACA